Molecule: ribosomal RNA, 309 nt
Filed under: uncultured bacterium
Lineage: Bacteria
Description: bacterial SSU rRNA
Rfam family: Bacterial small subunit ribosomal RNA
Source: RNAcentral
CGUGCCAGCAGCCGCGGUAAUACGUAGGGUGCGAGCGUUAUCCGGAAUUAUUGGGCGUAAAGAGCUCGUAGGCGGUUUGUCGCGUCUGUCGUGAAAGUCCGGGGCUUAACCCCGGAUCUGCGGUGGGUACGGGCAGACUAGAGUGCAGUAGGGGAGACUGGAAUUCCUGGUGUAGCGGUGGAAUGCGCAGAUAUCAGGAGGAGCACCGAUGGCGAAGGCAGGUCUCUGGGCUGUAACUGACGCUGAGGAGCGAAAGCAUGGGGAGCGAACAGGAUUAGAUACCCUGGUAGUCCACGCCGUAAACGAUGA